This 579-nucleotide ribosomal RNA is filed under the name uncultured bacterium. RNAcentral's name for it is "bacterial SSU rRNA". It matches the Rfam family "Bacterial small subunit ribosomal RNA", at positions 102 to 677 of the family's 1533-position model. The record is from RNAcentral.
ACGGGUGAGUAAUGUCUGGGGAUCUGCCCGAUAGAGGGGGAUAACCACUGGAAACGGUGGCUAAUACCGCAUAACGUCGCAAGACCAAAGAGGGGGACCUUCGGGCCUCUCACUAUCGGAUGAACCCAGAUGGGAUUAGCUAGUAGGCGGGGUAAUGGCCCACCUAGGCGACGAUCCCUAGCUGGUCUGAGAGGAUGACCAGCCACACUGGAACUGAGACACGGUCCAGACUCCUACGGGAGGCAGCAGUGGGGAAUAUUGCACAAUGGGCGCAAGCCUGAUGCAGCCAUGCCGCGUGUAUGAAGAAGGCCUUCGGGUUGUAAAGUACUUUCAGCGGGGAGGAAGGCGAUGUGGUUAAUAACCGCAUCGAUUGACGUUACCCGCAGAAGAAGCACCGGCUAACUCCGUGCCAGCAGCCGCGGUAAUACGGAGGGUGCAAGCGUUAAUCGGAAUUACUGGGCGUAAAGCGCACGCAGGCGGUCUGUUAAGUCAGAUGUGAAAUCCCCGGGCUUAACCUGGGAACUGCAUUUGAAACUGGCAGGCUUGAGUCUUGUAGAGGGGGGUAGAAUUCCAGGUGUA